This 429-nucleotide ribosomal RNA is filed under the name uncultured bacterium. Its description in RNAcentral is "bacterial SSU rRNA". It matches the Rfam family "Bacterial small subunit ribosomal RNA", at positions 355 to 796 of the family's 1533-position model. The record is from RNAcentral.
UCGAGAAUCUUCCACAAUGGACGAAAGUCUGAUGGAGCGACGCCGCGUGAUUGAUGAAGUCCUUCGGGACGUAAAGAUCUUUUAUGGGGGAGGAAGUUAUUGACGUUACCCCAUGAAUAAGAGGCUCCUAACUCUGUGCCAGCAGGAGCGGUAAUACAGAGGCCUCAAGCGUUACCCGGAAUCACUGGGCGUAAAGGGUGUGUAGGCGGUCAUGUUAGUCUUUCGUAAAAGCUUUUGGGCUUAACCCAGAAAAUGCGGGGGAAACGGCAUGACUUAGAGGAUGUGAGAGGUAAGUGGAACUCAAGGUGUAGGGGUGAAAUCCGUUGAUAUCUUGGGGAACACCAAAUGCGAAGGCAACUUACUGGCACACUCCUGACGCUGAAACACGAAAGCGUGGGAAUCGAACGGGAUUAGAUACCCCCGUAGUCC